UGACGUCACCGCUCAAGCCAUCCUGUGACACUCUGCUUUGAAGUCCUCACACAGGCCCUCAGAAGCGUUUGUAAUAAUUAUAGUCUCUACCCCCAACAGCUUAAAUAUUCGCACUGGGAAAGUCACCUAGAAGAAAAAAAGUCUCUUUAGACCACACACUGGAUGGCAAGAUUACAGCCCUGGCAUGCUAAAGAUCCCCACAUCCUGUAUAACAGUGAAGGAUGCCGAGAUGAUGGCGCUCAUGGUACAUCGAGGCACCAAGACAGUGAUUCAUCUGCAGAUGAGAGCCAAGACUUAUCCAGAUGCUGACUCCUACAACAGAAAUUGUGGCAGCACGUUCCCAGAACAGGUUGAUAUCUCAAACUUUGACCUGGUAAUGGAAUCGGACACAAGGCACAUUUGCACCACUUGGCCUUCAGUUCACUGGAAGAAGCAAAACCCGAGCAAUCAUGAAGCGGGUCUUUAUCAACGUCACUGGCCUGUCUGAGCAUGGAGAAGGAACUGACAUUGACUUCUGGAAGCAAGGUGGCGUACCAGAUAGGACUGGAUGAUCAGUUCACUUUAGUUACCUUUUGUUGAUGUGAAGGCAUAAGAAGUUUUUUUGGAUAUUUGUUUUUAAACGUUCAGUCUUUAGAAUUGUUGAUGACCUGGCUGUCCUGCAUUACCUCUGGUAAUAUGUAGUAUAUUUGACAUGUUUGAUAGAACAGUCUGGUACCUAUUAAGUGUUUUUUUUACAGCAAAGGAAGAAAGAAAUAGAUCAUUUUUGUCGACUGGGUUAAUGUAGU
Long non-coding RNA from Polyodon spathula (Mississippi paddlefish), 785 nucleotides. RefSeq lists it as uncharacterized. The record is from RefSeq and is a predicted model, not a curated record. NCBI's taxonomy places the organism in Eukaryota, Metazoa, Chordata, Actinopteri, Acipenseriformes, Polyodontidae. The transcript is spliced from 3 exons.